RNAcentral lists this ribosomal RNA (466 nucleotides) under uncultured bacterium. RNAcentral describes it as "partial 16S ribosomal RNA". It matches the Rfam family "Bacterial small subunit ribosomal RNA", at positions 28 to 507 of the family's 1533-position model. The record is from RNAcentral.
GAUGAACGCUGGCGGCGUGCUUAACACAUGCAAGUCGAACGGAAAGGCCCAAGCUUGCUUGGGUACUCGAGUGGCGAACGGGUGAGUAACACGUGGGUGAUCUGCCCUGCACUUCGGGAUAAGCCUGGGAAACUGGGUCUAAUACCGGAUAGGACCACAUUUUGGAUGGUGUGGUGGAAAGUUUUUCGGUGUGGGAUGAGCUCGCGGCCUAUCAGCUUGUUGGUGGGGUAAUGGCCUACCAAGGCGUCGACGGGUAGCCGGCCUGAGAGGGUGUACGGCCACAUUGGGACUGGGGUACGGCCCAGACUCCUACGGGAGGCAGCAGUGGGGAAUAUUGCACAAUGGGCGCAAGCCUGAUGCAGCGACGCCGCGUGGGGGAUGACGGCCUUCGGGUUGUAAACUCCUUUCGCUAGGGACGAAGCGUUAUGUGACGGUACCUGGAGAAGAAGCACCGGCUAACUACGUG